Molecule: ribosomal RNA, 429 nt
Filed under: bacterium
Lineage: Bacteria
Description: partial 16S ribosomal RNA
Rfam family: Bacterial small subunit ribosomal RNA
Source: RNAcentral
UGGGGAAUCUUCCGCAAUGGACGAAAGUCUGACGGAGCAACGCCGCGUGAGUGAUGACGGCCUUCGGGUUGUAAAGCUCUGUUAAUCGGGACGAAUGGUUCUUGUGCGAAUAGUGCGAGGAGUUGACGGUACCGGAAUAGAAAGCCACGGCUAACUACGUGCCAGCAGCCGCGGUAAUACGUAGGUGGCAAGCGUUGUCCGGAAUUAUUGGGCGUAAAGCGCGCGCAGGCGGAUUGGUCAGUCUGUCUUAAAAGUUCGGGGCUUAACCCCGUGAUGGGAUGGAAACUGCCAAUCUAGAGUAUCGGAGAGGAAAGUGGAAUUCCUAGUGUAGCGGUGAAAUGCGUAGAUAUUAGGAAGAACACCAGUGGCGAAGGCGACUUUCUGGACGAAAACUGACGCUGAGGCGCGAAAGCCAGGGGAGCGAACGGG